UCUUAUCAAGGCGUUAUCUUAUUCUUCCUUUAAGUAUAAGCUCUUCUCUGGAAUGAUUGC
RNAcentral lists this transfer RNA (60 nucleotides) under Armadillidium album. RNAcentral's name for it is "tRNA-Lys". Lineage: Eukaryota; Metazoa; Arthropoda; Malacostraca; Isopoda; Armadillidiidae. The record is from RNAcentral.